CCUACGGGUGGCAGCAGUGGGGAAUAUUGCACAAUGGGGGAAACCCUGAUGCAGCGACGCCGCGUGAGUGAAGAAGGAAUUCGGUAUGUAAAGCUCUAUCAGCAGGGAAGAAAAUGACGGUACCUGAGUAAGAAGCCCCGGCUAACUACGGGCCAGUAGCCGCGGUAAUACGUAGGGGGCAAGCGUUAUCCGGAUUUGCUGUGUGUAAAGGGAGCGUAGACGGCAGUGCAAGUCUGGAGUGAAAGGCGGGGGCUCAACCCCCGGACUGCUCUGGAAACUGUACGGCUGGAGUGCAGGAGAGGUAAGUGGAAUUCCUAGUGUAGCGGUGAAAUGCGUAGAUAUUAGGAGGAACACCAGUGGCGAAGGCGGCUUACUGGACUGUAACUGACGUUGAGGCUCGAAAGCGUGGGGAGCAAACAGGAUUAGAUACCCCAGUAGUC
This 440-nucleotide ribosomal RNA is filed under the name uncultured bacterium. RNAcentral's name for it is "partial 16S ribosomal RNA". It matches the Rfam family "Bacterial small subunit ribosomal RNA", at positions 338 to 795 of the family's 1533-position model. The record is from RNAcentral.